Molecule: unclassified non-coding RNA, 253 nt
Filed under: uncultured Caryophanaceae bacterium
Lineage: Bacteria; Bacillati; Bacillota; Bacilli; Caryophanales; Caryophanaceae
Description: uncultured Planococcaceae bacterium contains 16S-23S intergenic spacer region
Rfam family: Bacterial small subunit ribosomal RNA
Source: RNAcentral
UACGGAGGUGGCAAGCGUUGUCCGGAAUUAUUGGGCGUAAAGCGCACGCAGGCGGUCCCGUGAGUCUGAUGUGAAAGCCCACGGCUCAACCGGGGGGGGUCAUUGGAAACUGGGGGACUUGAGUGCAGGAGAGGAAAGUGGAAUUCCAUGUGUAGCGGUGAAAUGCGUAGAGAUGUGAAGGAACACCAGUGGCGAAGGCGACUUUCUGGUCUGUAACUGACGCUGAGGCGCGAAAGCGUGGGGAGCAAACAGG